RNAcentral lists this ribosomal RNA (483 nucleotides) under uncultured bacterium. RNAcentral's name for it is "partial 16S ribosomal RNA". It matches the Rfam family "Bacterial small subunit ribosomal RNA", at positions 28 to 507 of the family's 1533-position model. The record is from RNAcentral.
GACGAACGCUGGCGGCGUGCUUAACACAUGCAAGUCGAACGCUGAAGCUCAGCUUUUGUUGGGUGGAUGAGUGGCGCGCGGGUGAGUAACACGUGAGUAACCUGCCCCCUUCUUUGGGAUAACGCCCGGAAACGGGUGCUAAUACAGGAUAUUCAAUGGUCAUCGCCUGGGGGUUGGUGGAAAGGGUUUUUCUGGUGGGGGAUGGGCUCGCGGCCUAUCAGCUUGUUGGUGGGGUGAUGGCCUACCAAGGCUUUGACGGGUAGCCGGGCUGAGCGGGUGACCGGGCACAUGGGGACUGAGAUACGGCCCAGACUCCUACGGGAGGCAGCAGUGGGGAAUAUUGCACAAGGGGCGCAAGCCUGAUGCAGCGACGCCGCGUGAGGGAUGGAGGCCUCCGGGUUGUGAACCUCUUUCGCUCAUGGUCAAGCCGCAACAAUGGUUGUGGUGAGGGUAGUGGGUAAAGAAGCGCCGGCUAACUACGUG